CUUGACUGUAGCUUGGAAUUGGGUUCGGGCUCUUCUUGCGCAGCCUAGGUGGGAGGCGUUGAAAGCUUUCUUUUGGGGAAGCUGGAGCCAUCAGUGAGAGACCACUCUGGAGGAGCUAGAAUUCUAAUGGCGUUCCUUGAAGCAGGACGCUUGACAGUUUCAGGUGGGCAGUUUGACUGGGGCGGUCACCUCCUAAAAGGUAACGGAGGUGUGCAAAGGUUCCCUCAGGCUGGACGGAAAUCAGCCGUAGAGUGUAAAGGCAGAAGGGAGCUUGACUGCAAGACCUACAAGUCGAGCAGGGGCGAAAGCCGGCCUUAGUGAUCCGACGGUUCCAUGUGGAAGGGCCGUCGCUCAACGGAUAAAAGUUA
RNAcentral lists this ribosomal RNA (368 nucleotides) under uncultured organism. Its description in RNAcentral is "bacterial LSU rRNA". It matches the Rfam family "Bacterial large subunit ribosomal RNA", at positions 2099 to 2465 of the family's 2925-position model. The record is from RNAcentral.